UACAGAGGGUGCGAGCGUUAAUCGGAAUUACUGGGCGUAAAGCGCACGUAGUCGGCUUUGCAAGUCGGUUGUGAAAUCCCCGGGCUCAACCUGGGAACUGCAUCCGAGACUGCAUUGCUAGAGUAUGGGAGAGGAAAGCGGAAUUUCUGGUGUAGCAGUGAAAUGCGUAGAUAUCAGAAGGAACAUCAGUGGCGAAGGCGGCUUUCUGGACCAAUACUGACGAUCAGGUGCGAAAGCGUGGGGAGCGAUCCGG
Molecule: ribosomal RNA, 253 nt
Filed under: uncultured bacterium
Lineage: Bacteria
Description: partial 16S ribosomal RNA
Rfam family: Bacterial small subunit ribosomal RNA
Source: RNAcentral